GACGAACGCUGGCGGCGUGCUUAACACAUGCAAGUCGAACGGUGAAGCGCUUGCCUUUUUGGUGGGUGUGGAUGAGUGGCGAACGGGUGAGUAACACGUGAGUAACCUGCCCUCUUCUUCUGGAUAACCUCAUGAAAGUGGGGCUAAUACGGGGUAUUCCGGGUCUGUCGCAUGGCGGGUUUGGGAAAGAUUGCGCCUUUGGGUGUUUUCGGUGGGGGAUGGGCUCGCGGCCUAUCAGCUUGUUGGUGGGGUGAUGGCCUACCAAGGCGGUGACGGGUAGCCGGCCUGAGAGGGUGGACGGCCACACUGGGACUGAGACACGGCCCAGACUCCUGCGGGAGGCAGCAGUGGGGAAUAUUGCACAAUGGGCGCAAGCCGGAUGCAGCGACGCCGCGUGAGGGAUGGAGGCCUUCGGGUUGUGAACCUCUUUCGCCAGUGAAGCAGGCCUGCUCCUGUGUGGGUGGGUUGACGGUAGCUGGAGAAGAAGCGCCGGCUAACUACGUG
RNAcentral lists this ribosomal RNA (504 nucleotides) under uncultured bacterium. RNAcentral's name for it is "partial 16S ribosomal RNA". It matches the Rfam family "Bacterial small subunit ribosomal RNA", at positions 28 to 507 of the family's 1533-position model. The record is from RNAcentral.